This 1203-nucleotide long non-coding RNA is filed under the name Cyanistes caeruleus (blue tit). RNAcentral describes it as "lncRNA (ENSCCEG00000011049.1)". Lineage: Eukaryota; Metazoa; Chordata; Aves; Passeriformes; Paridae. The record is from RNAcentral.
ACUGCCAGUGGGCAUCCUUUUUUCUCAGAUUUUGUUAAUUUCUCUAGGUCUGAGAUCAUUAAAGCAUAUCAAUCCCUAGACUUUAACAAGGCAAUUCCACCAACAAAUAACUGUUUUUUUCUAACACCUGGACAUCACAUAUAUUUGCAAAGCAGAAAUAUGAGUGAUAAUCUUACAGGUCCAAUAUUGAUGUCCUGAGUUUUGUAAAUUGUACAUCAGCUAAAAGCUCGAGUUUGAAAAUCUGUUAUUUGGGGAGGAAAUUUUCUAAUUUACUUGAAAUACAGAGUAAUUUUCCUGUGGACAAAUAGGCUGCAUUUGGAAAAUCUUUUCUGUUUCAGUCUAACAUCAUUCACGUGGGGAAGCUGUUCCUGUUCAAUCCAUUAGAGCAACUGCUUAGGCGGCAUGAGUUUAGCUGUAGUUUAGCUUAACUUCUUAAAUUCCCGUUAUGGCAGUCAGUAUGUAACUUCAUCUACAAAUGAUAUUUGGUCCUCUCUCAGUUGCACAGGAAUGUCCUUCCUGAAUGAAAUCCUCAAUUUUUGGCUUUUUUCCGAACAUGAAUAUAUUCUCGAGUGUUUGCUCAGGGUCAUGGCAUGAUAAAAGCUUGUUUAGCUGUUCUCAACACUAUACUGAUGAACUGAGAUUUUGAUCAAUGUUUUUCAUAACAAUCCAGAGUGAAGAUAGGGGGGAAAAACCCUGCAGAGUCCAUGGUACAGACAUUUAAAUGCAAGAAAUCAUAAGCGUCUUGAUUAAUACUCCGGGGCCUUUGAGACUGUGGAAGGCUGAUGUCCGUUUAAAAAUCCUGUUUGUGAGGAUUUGUGAUGCCUGCCUGGGAACAGCAUCGCUGGUACUUGGGUUUUGUUACAGAAAUGAGAGAUCGCAGCAUAUUGCUUAAAUAAAAUGGUGAUGAUGCUGUAUUUAGUAAUUCGCAGAGUGUCAUUUCACUUUAAAGCUAUAGGGAAAACAACAAAAAUGGGGUGGUGGGGGGGGACCCUUUGUACGAUAUAACAGAGGAGCGCGUUUUAAAAAAUACGCAGGGACGCUCCAGAGAAGCAGCGAAGCCUCGGGCACAGCCCCGCCGCGGAGCCGGGCGCAGCUGCCUGGCGGAUCACUGCGGCCCGGGGGUCCCGCUCGGGAUGGGGAUCGGGACUGGGAUCGGCACGGGGGAGUCCCUCCGCGUACGUGCGGCGGCGCAGGUCCGCAAUG